Molecule: ribosomal RNA, 415 nt
Filed under: Siamoconus destitutus
Lineage: Eukaryota; Metazoa; Mollusca; Gastropoda; Stylommatophora; Euconulidae
Description: Euconulidae sp. d AP-2023 partial large subunit ribosomal RNA
Source: RNAcentral
CGUUUUAUGUAAUUAAUAUAAAAUUAAAUCUGCCCAGUGAAAUUUAAACGGCCGCAGUACUUUGACUGUGCUAAGGUAGCAUAAUAAAUUGGCUUUUAAUUGGAGUCUUGUAUGAAAGAAUUCAUGGAUAAUUUCUGUCUUUAUAUAAGUUUUUAAAAAUUACUUUUAAGGUGAAAAUACCUUUAAAUAUUUAAUAGACGAGAAGACCCUAGGAGUUAUUGUUUUUGUUGGGGCGACAUUUCUUCAUUUAACAUGAAUAAGUUAUUUUUGUAGAUUAAACGAUUAUUAUAAUUUUAAUUUAACUACCCUAGGGAUAACAGCAUAAUUUAUUUUUAAGUUUAUGACCUCGAUGUUGGAUUAGGAAAGUUUAAGGUUAAUAAUUUUAAUUCUAUGUUCUGUUCGAACAAAAAUUCCU